UGGGGAAUAUUGCACAAUGGGGGAAACCCUGAUGCAGCGACGCCGCGUGAACGAAGAAGGUAUUCGUACCGUAAAGUUCUGUCCUAUGGGAAGAUAAGGACAGAACCAUAGAAGAAACCUCCGGCUAAAUACGUGCCAGCAGCCGCGGUAAUACGUAUGGAGCGAGCGUUUUCCGGAAUUAUUGGGCGUAAAGGGUACGCAGGCGGUUUAAUAAGUCGAAUGUUAAAGAUCGGGGCUCAACCCCGCAAAGCAUUGGAAACUGAUAAACUUGAGUAGUGGAGAGGAAAGUGGAAUUCCUAGUGUAGUGGUGAAAUACGUAGAUAUUAGGAGGAAUACCAGUAGCGAAGGCGACUUUCUGGACACAAACUGACGCUGAGGUACGAAAGCGUGGGGAGCAAACAGG
This 403-nucleotide ribosomal RNA is filed under the name bacterium. RNAcentral describes it as "partial 16S ribosomal RNA". It matches the Rfam family "Bacterial small subunit ribosomal RNA", at positions 355 to 776 of the family's 1533-position model. The record is from RNAcentral.